This 4709-nucleotide long non-coding RNA is filed under the name Sus scrofa (pig). RNAcentral describes it as "lncRNA (ENSSSCG00005008062.1)". Lineage: Eukaryota; Metazoa; Chordata; Mammalia; Artiodactyla; Suidae. The record is from RNAcentral.
AUAUGGAGGUUCCUUAACAAACUAAACAUGGAAUUACUAUAUGAUCCAGCAAUCCUCCUCAUAUAUCCAGAAAAGAUGAAAACUCUAAUUCAAAAAGAUACAUGCACCCCAAUAUUCAUUGUAGCAAUAUUUCAAAAAAAAUUUAAGUAUAGUUGAUUUACAGUGUGCCAAUUUCUGCUGUAUAGCAAAGUGACUCAGUCAUACAUAUAUAUAUAUACAUGAUUUUUAAAUACUAUUUUGAAUCAUGCUAUAUCCCAGGAGACUGGAUAUAGUUCCCUGUGCUGUACAGUAAGAUCUCAUUGCUUAUCCAUUCUAAAUGUAAUCGUUUGCAUCUACUAACUCCAGACUUCCAAUCCAUCCCACUCAUACCCAUCUCCCCCUUGGCAACCACAAGUCUGCUCUCUAUGUCUGUGAGUCUGUUUCUGUUUUGUACAUAGGUUCAUUUGUGCCACAUUUUAGAUUCCACAUAUAAGUGACAUCAUAUAGUAUUUGUCUUUUUCUUUCUGACUUCACUUAGUAUGAGAAUCUCUCAUUGCAUCCAUGUUGUUGCAGCACUAUUUACAAUAGCCAAGACAUGAAAGCAACCUAAAUGUCCAUCAACAGAUGAAUGGAUAAAGGACAUGUGGGGUGUAUGUGUAUGCAUACAUACAAUUGAAUAUUAGUCAGCCAUUAAAAAAAUGAAAUAAUGCCACUUUCAGCAGCAUGGACAUUAAGAGAAUUAAGUCAGACAAGAAAAAUACGCAAUAUCACUUAUAUGUGGAAUCUGAAAAAAAAUGAUACAAGUGAACUUAUUUACAAAAAAGAAAUGGACUCACAGACAUAGAAAACAAACUUACGGUUACCAAAGGGGAAAGAGGAGAGAGGGAUAAGUUAGGAGUUUGGGAUUUAAAAAAAUUUGAGCUGAUCAUGCACUAUCCAAAUAAGCAGCCACUUGAGCACUUCCCAGGUGGAUAGUCCAAAUUGAGAUAUGCUCUAAGUAUUUUAUAUGCAGAUCAGAUUUUGAAGAUUUAAUAUGCAAAAAUAUAAAAUGCCUCAAUUUUUAUAUUGAUUACAUGUUGAAAGGCAGUAUUUUGACAUUGAAUUAAAGAAAACAAUGAAAUGAAUUUCACUUGUUUCUUUUUAAUUAAUGCGGCUCCUAGAAAUUUAGAUAAUGUAGCUUGUCAAUAUCUCUCUCUCUAUUGGACAGCACUGGACUGAAAGUACUCAAAGUUUAAAUUAGGUGCUCUUGGCCCAAGGGAGAGAGCUCAGCCAGCUGGGGAGUUUGGAAAGGUCACGUGGACCGAAUUGACCUUGGAGAAUGACAAGAUUUUGGCAAGUGGUGCCCUGGGAGGAUUCUAAAGCCUAUCAGAUGGAGGAAGUAGCAUCAAUAGAGGCUGGGAGACAACAGAAUGGUUUCUUUGUUGGUACAGAAGUGAGUUUAGCUGUAAUAAGGGACAAAGCAUGUGACAAGUCUAGGUAAAUAGGCAUAGGCCUUAUUGUGGGCUCUCCUCGUGGGUUAGGGGUUUGGACCUGUUUUUGGCUGGCAACAGGGGAGGGGAGGUGACUACGCCAUAGUUUUGAGCAGGGAGUAGUAACUUUGAAAGGUGAUUAGAUGUCUGAUCUGGAAAAUAUAAGUUGAUUGGAUUGGAGUAAGAAAGACACUAAGUGGUUAAACCAGGUUAACUAGGAAAGACCAAAGGUCUAAUAUCAGAUGCCAGUGGAACUGGGAAGUAGAGGAUGGUGGAAAGCCACUUUAUACUGUGCCAAGGAUAUUUGUGAAUGAGUGAGAACACCAGUGUUUUGUGCUUGACGAAUUUGGAUAAUGGUGAUGCCCUCAUAGAAAUGCAGACCUUAGAAGAAGUUGGUUUGAGACUCAUAUGAUGUGUUUAGUUUGAGACAGCCCACUAAUAUGAUGUGUUUAGUUACAAGACAGGCCAGCUCGCAGAAGCUUGCUCACUUCGGUCUUUUGCUGGCAAAAAUGGUGCUGGACCAUUCUUUGCUUUUGGCCAGCUCUGUCUUUCCUGACCCUUCCCGCCAUCCACCAUGGUCACAGUUAAUUGAUCAGGGAAAGGGGUCUGACCUUUGGAUAUUUGCUCAUUGGCUGGUCAGUGGAACUUCAGAUGAUUAGGCUUGUAAGGGCUGAGUGGAGCAGUUCUUUUUUAGACAUCUGAACUGGAGAUACAAGAGAGAGAGCUGGUGUAGGGACAGGAGAAAGAAACAUGGGGAGGAACAGCAGGGAAAGGGGAAACCUAAGCCAAUGGGAGUGGUGGAGAGAUGAGCAGGACCAGUGAACUCCUGGCCACUGGACUGUGUAGGUUCCUGGACAGAUCUGCCACAGCCCGUGCUUUGCCCUUCUGGGAAGAGUGGCUCUUCAUAGUUCUGGUGAGAUAAUGGCCGAAUGAGCAUGAUUCCUUUCCUCUUUAUUCCCUCCGUUUUCCUAACAGGAAAGCUCCAUUGGCUAACCAAAAAGGGUGAUGAGGUGGAUGUUUGAAAUUGUUAGAAAGGCAGGUUUGGAAUUAAGAGAGGAGGUCGGCGUGGAGAUGCAAAGUUAAGAAAAGCCCAAUUUGUUCAUGCAAGAGGCAUGAGAUUGUAAACAGUACUCUUCAGUGGCAGAGGAAGCCCAGCAUUCUAAAGGCAGUCGAUGCUAAAUUGCUUGCUGAUAACAGGUGUAAUAGGUGUGGCAAAGCAUUCAGCCAGCAACACUAAUGGAAGUCUGAGUUUGCAGUAAGCCUUGUUUAAGGGAUGAAGGUUCUGCUAUAGGGAAGGAGCAAGUUAUUCAACAAGUUACUCAUUAAUCUCCUUAACAGAGCUGCUCUGUUUGCAAAGUAAGGUUAGCAGUUGUUUUAGUUUAUAUUCUUCAGAGAUGUUUUGAGGACAAACAAGUAACAGCUUUGCAUGUUGUAUUUUUCAUUAGAUACUCCCGGUCUACAGAGGCAGUAGCUGGCCUGACAAUUUUUAUAAACAGCUUAGAACAGGCAGCUCUGAGUAGUGGCUCAGGGAGGGCUUUUGGAGUUGGGGGGGGGGCUUCCGUUUGGUCUAGAUGACAAAUGUAGGUGAAAUGCAUUUCUCCAUAUGGUUGACAACUGGGAUCAGAGUCUUAAGCUGUCAGGACUGAACUCUGUAUAUCUAGCAUGGCAAUUGUUUUGAGAGAAAAAUACAGCAAAAGAGAGGUGUGUACAUAAAUUUUUUAAUAAAAACUGUUCAAAUAAACUGUCCACAAAACAGUAUGUAUAUUUGGUAUGCCAGUUUCGUAAGUUAAGAAAUGCAUGUGACAAAUCCUAGAGGGGGACCCACAUCCAAAUGUUAAUAGUUAUGGUUGGGUGGUAGGAUGAUUCAUGCGUUACGUUUUUCUUUGUGUUUGUCUUUGUUUUCUAAGACUUUUCUUCUCCCCUUACACAUAGCAUGAAUUACUUGAGUAAUUAAAAAAACAGCGAAUGCUUUUAAAAACAAUUUUGUCUAGGUGUUUUUCAUAAUAUAUACUUUUGUUUCUCAAAGAUGGAGUGGCUGUUUUCACUGCCUAGUCUCAUUUAUAAUGCAGCAGUUCUUUAGUCUGUUUUAGCAAUGGAUUAAAUUAAUGCAGAGCAAAAACAGAUUUAACUUGAUUUUUAAGCUUUGAUUCCUCAAAAUAAAGGGUGAUGACUGUUCCUAUUGAACAUUUAAAAAUAUGUUUUUUCUUUUUCUGUUCUUCUUUUUUUUUUUUGCUUUUUAGGGCUGCACCCGUGGCAUAUGGAGGUUCCCAGGCUAGGGGUCUAAUCAGAGCCACAGCUGCAGAUCUACUUCACAGCAAUGCAGGAUCCGAGCCGCAUCUGCAACCUACACCAUAGCUCACAGCAAUGCCAGAUCCUUAACCCACUGAGCAAGGCCAGGGAUUGAACCCGCAGCCUCAUGGUUUCUAGUCAGAUUCGUUUCUACUGCACCAUGAUGGGAACUCCUAAAAAGAAAUUUUUGAGAUGUGUUUCAAAUACAAUCCUAAGUGAAUAAUGUGAUAAUUACCUGUGUAUCUAUCAUCCAGCUUUUAAAAGAUCAUGGCAUUAUCCUUAUUUGCUUGGGGUUUGGGUAUUUGAACUUGAAAGAAAUAUUAAAAAGUUAUGCUUGAUUCUUCUACAUCUCCUCUUUGUCAUGAAAGCAAAGUUUAUCAGUUGAGUGUGUUUUGAUACAUUUACUAAUAUGUAUGUAUCCACAAUUAUGAUAAAGUGUUGCCCUCAGAUUUUUAAGCUUUGUGUUAAUGAAUCAUGCCUUGCAUAUUGUUUUGAAACUUGCGGUUUCCUUGCCUUGACAUUGUUUAACAGGUUUCCAUGUUGAUAGAUGUGGAUCAAGUUCAGGGGUUCACAAGCUAUGUAUGGCCCAUGUGCCAAGUCUAGCCAGCCCCCUCUUUUUGUAAAUAAACUUUACUAUCUAUGGCUGCUUGUACACCAACGCAUCAGAGUUGAGUAGUUGUGAUAGAGACUGUAUGGCCUGGAAAGCCUAGAAUAUUUACUGCCUGGCUCAUUACAGAAAAAGUUUGCUGACUUCUGAUCUAGCCCAUCCUUUGUGUGGCUAUAUCAUUAUUUAUCCAUUUUCCUGCCCAUGGACACUUAGUUCCUGUUUAUUUGUAAGAAGUGAUGUUUUGGUGAACAUUGGUUUGUGUGUAUAGAUAUAGAUAUCUCCUUACCAUGUGAGUUGAGAGGGUUUCUAGGGUAGCCUAUUGCUCAUGAAGCAGUUAAGCUUUUUAAUAUAUUUUGAUGUGUUUU